AUGAGAACUUGCUUGCAUAAGUGCCCUCCUACACAUGCAAUAUGCCCUUCUUACUUUUGUAACGGAUCCCUUCCAGUUGAAAUUUGGGCCAAGAGGAAAAAAUGAUACAGGUCGCCAACCAACCAACAGCAAAGCCUGCAGAGGAGGGCCAUUAACUCUUGUGAAUUACAAAAUGAAGAGGUCUUUACAGGACUUCUGCAAAGUCCUACUGGGUUCAGCCUUAAAAUAUAAUUGCAGAUCUCUUGUAUGUCAGCAAAAAACAAAACAACAGCAACAAAAACACUGCAGAAGAAAAAUGGCAAGGAACAUGAAUAAAUGGUUCAUAGAAGGGGAAAUAAACAGCCGAUGUAGAUGAAAGCUAUCAUGGUCAUUUAUCGGGUUGCCUGCCCAAGGUUCAUUUCCCCAUCAGAUUUCCCUUGAGAAGUUACCACUUUCCCUCUGGUUAUGAUUCAGUAGGGUUGUGAUCAGGGCACUGCCCUUUCCCAGCCUGAGGGUAGGACUGUAGCCCGGGGGUCAAUUGGAACUUGAAUGUUAAGAGAGGAAUAGAGACCAAAGCUAUUGGGGU
Molecule: long non-coding RNA, 565 nt
Filed under: Vulpes vulpes (red fox)
Lineage: Eukaryota; Metazoa; Chordata; Mammalia; Carnivora; Canidae
Description: lncRNA (ENSVVUG00000002193.1)
Source: RNAcentral